Molecule: ribosomal RNA, 1372 nt
Filed under: uncultured bacterium
Lineage: Bacteria
Description: bacterial SSU rRNA
Rfam family: Bacterial small subunit ribosomal RNA
Source: RNAcentral
GAUGAACGCUGGCGGCGUGCCUAAUACAUGCAAGUCGAGCGAACGGACGAGAAGCUUGCUUCUCUGAUGUUAGCGGCGGACGGGUGAGUAACACGUGGAUAACCUACCUAUAAGACUGGGAUAACUUCGGGAAACCGGAGCUAAUACCGGAUAAUAUUUUGAACCGCAUGGUUCAAAAGUGAAAGACGGUCUUGCUGUCACUUAUAGAUGGAUCCGCGCUGCAUUAGCUAGUUGGUAAGGCAACGGCUUACCAAGGCAACGAUGCAUAGCCGACCUGAGAGGGUGAUCGGCCACACUGGAACUGAGACACGGUCCAGACUCCUACGGGAGGCAGCAGUAGGGAAUCUUCCGCAAUGGGCGAAAGCCUGACGGAGCAACGCCGCGUGAGUGAUGAAGGUCUUCGGAUCGUAAAACUCUGUUAUUAGGGAAGAACAUAUGUGUAAGUAACUGUGCACAUCUUGACGGUACCUAAUCAGAAAGCCACGGCUAACUACGUGCCAGCAGCCGCGGUAAUACGUANGUGGGCAGCGUUAUCCGGAAUUAUUGGGCGUAAAGCGCGCGUAGGCGGUUUUUUAAGUCUGAUGUGAAAGCCCACGGCUCAUUCGUGGAGGGUCAUUGGAAACUGGAAAACUUGAGUGCAGAAGAGGAAAGUGGAAUUCCAUGUGUAGCGGUGAAAUGCGCAGAGAUAUGGAGGAACACCAGUGGCGAAGGCGACUUUCUGGUCUGUAACUGACGCUGAUGUGCGAAAGCGUGGGGAUCAAACAGGAUUAGAUACCCUGGUAGUCCACGCCGUAAACGAUGAGUGCUAAGUGUUAGGGGGUUUCCGCCCCUUAGUGCUGCAGCUAACGCAUUAAGCACUCCGCCUGGGGAGUACGACCGCAAGGUUGAAACUCAAAGGAAUUGACGGGGACCCGCACAAGCGGUGGAGCAUGUGGUUUAAUUCGAAGCAACGCGAAGAACCUUACCAAAUCUUGACAUCCUUUGACAACUCUAGAGAUAGAGCUUUCCCCUUCGGGGGACAAAGUGACAGGUGGUGCAUGGUUGUCGUCAGCUCGUGUCGUGAGAUGUUGGGUUAAGUCCCGCAACGAGCGCAACCCUUAAGCUUAGUUGCCAUCAUUAAGUUGGGCACUCUAAGUUGACUGCCGGUGACAAACCGGAGGAAGGUGGGGAUGACGUCAAAUCAUCAUGCCCCUUAUGAUUUGGGCUACACACGUGCUACAAUGGACAAUACAAAGGGCAGCGAAACCGCGAGGUCAAGCAAAUCCCAUAAAGUUGUUCUCAGUUCGGAUUGUAGUCUGCAACUCGACUACAUGAAGCUGGAAUCGCUAGUAAUCGUAGAUCAGCAUGCUACGGUGAAUACGUUCCCGGGUCU